UCAGACGAUGCGUCAUGCAUAUCAAUAAGCGGAGGAAAAGAAACUAACAAGGAUUCCCUAGUAACGGCGAGUGAAGCGGGAAGAGCUCAAAUUUGAAAUCUUCAAGGUUUUACCUUGACGAAUUGUAGUUUAAAGAAGUGUUUUCUGUUGAAGUUUUGGUAAAAGUUCUUUGGAAUAGGACAUCAUAGAGGGUGAGAAUCCCGUAUUUGACCAUUAUUUUCAGCUGUGUGAUACACUUUCAAAGAGUCGGAUUGUUUGGGAAUGCAGUCCAAAAUGGGUGGUAAAUUUCAUCUAAAGCUAAAUAUUGGCGAGAGACCGAUAGCGAACAGGUACCGUGAGGGAAAGAUGAAAAGAACUUUGAAAAGAGAGUUAAACAGUACGUGAAAUUGUCAAAAGGGAAGCGUUUGACACCAGUGUUGUUUUCUCGAAAAUCAAUUAAAAAGAGUUGGAUUUUGUGUUGUAUUGACCUUAACAGCUUGCUUCACUCUUUUCCUGCUUUUUUUAAUGCACUUUUCGUUUAACAAGUCAACAUCAGUUUCUUUUGUUGUAAAAGGGUCAUUGGAAGGUGGCUUUCUCUUCGGAGAAAGUGUUUAUAGCCUUUGAUCUCUGCAAUCGGAGAGACUGAGGUCUGCAGCGUAGAUCCUUCGGGGUUAGAUACAUUUGUGCUAAGCUACAGCUUUUCAUAGACAACUUGUUGACUAUGUUUAGUCUUGUAACUUACCCGCUUAUGCUAUUUUACCUACGCUUAGGAUGUUGAUAUGCAUGACUGAUAU
Molecule: ribosomal RNA, 773 nt
Filed under: uncultured Neocallimastigales
Lineage: Eukaryota; Fungi; Neocallimastigomycota; Neocallimastigomycetes; Neocallimastigales
Description: partial large subunit ribosomal RNA
Rfam family: Eukaryotic large subunit ribosomal RNA
Source: RNAcentral